This 604-nucleotide ribosomal RNA is filed under the name uncultured Actinomycetes bacterium. RNAcentral's name for it is "bacterial SSU rRNA". It matches the Rfam family "Bacterial small subunit ribosomal RNA", at positions 252 to 866 of the family's 1533-position model. Lineage: Bacteria; Bacillati; Actinomycetota; Actinomycetes. The record is from RNAcentral.
GUGGGGUAAUGGCUCACCAAGGCGACGACGGGUAGCCGGCCUGAGAGGGUGACCGGCCACACUGGGACUGAGACACGGCCCAGACUCCUACGGGAGGCAGCAGUGGGGAAUAUUGCACAAUGGGCGGAAGCCUGAUGCAGCGACGCCGCGUGAGGGAUGACGGCCUUCGGGUUGUAAACCUCUUUCAGUAGGGAAGAAGCGGGAGUGACGGUACCUGCAGAAGAAGCGCCGGCUAACUACGUGCCAGCAGCCGCGGUAAUACGUAGGGCGCAAGCGUUGUCCGGAAUUAUUGGGCGUAAAGAGCUCGUAGGCGGUUUGUCGCGUCUGCUGUGAAAGCCCGGGGCUCAACCCCGGGUCUGCAGUGGGUACGGGCAGACUAGAGCGCAGUAGGGGAGACUGGAAUUCCUGGUGUAGCGGUGAAAUGCGCAGAUAUCAGGAGGAACACCGAUGGCGAAGGCAGGUCUCUGGGCUGUUACUGACGCUGAGGAGCGAAAGCAUGGGGAGCGAACAGGAUUAGAUACCCUGGUAGUCCAUGCCGUAAACGUUGGGCACUAGGUGUGGGGGACAUUCCACGUUCUCCGCGCCGUAGCUAACGCAUUAAGUG